AGUGAACGCUGGCGGUAGGCCUAACACAUGCAAGUCGAACGGCAGCACAGUAAGAGCUUGCUCUUACGGGUGGCGAGUGGCGGACGGGUGAGGAAUACAUCGGAAUCUACUUUUUCGUGGGGGAUAACGUAGGGAAACUUACGCUAAUACCGCAUACGACCUACGGGUGAAAGCAGGGGAUCUUCGGACCUUGCGCGAUUGAAUGAGCCGAUGUCGGAUUAGCUAGUUGGCGGGGUAAAGGCCCACCAAGGCGACGAUCCGUAGCUGGUCUGAGAGGAUGAUCAGCCACACUGGAACUGAGACACGGUCCAGACUCCUACGGGAGGCAGCAGUGGGGAAUCUUGGACAAUGGGCGAAAGCCUGAUCCAGCAAUACCGCGUGAGUGAAGAAGGCCUUCGGGUUGUAAAGCCCUUUUGUUGGGAAAGAAAAGCAGCAGGUUAAUACCCCGCUGUUCUGACGGUACCCAAAGAAUAAGCACCGGCUAACUUCGUG
Molecule: ribosomal RNA, 492 nt
Filed under: uncultured bacterium
Lineage: Bacteria
Description: partial 16S ribosomal RNA
Rfam family: Bacterial small subunit ribosomal RNA
Source: RNAcentral